RNAcentral lists this ribosomal RNA (920 nucleotides) under Rothia nasimurium. Its description in RNAcentral is "bacterial SSU rRNA". It matches the Rfam family "Bacterial small subunit ribosomal RNA", at positions 76 to 1003 of the family's 1533-position model. Lineage: Bacteria; Bacillati; Actinomycetota; Actinomycetes; Micrococcales; Micrococcaceae. The record is from RNAcentral.
CAGCUUGCUGGGUGGAUUAGUGGCGAACGGGUGAGUAAUACGUGAGUAACCUGCCUUUAACUCUGGGAUAAGCCUUGGAAACGAGGUCUAAUACCGGAUACGACCAGUUCCCGCAUGGGAUGCUGGUGGAAAGGGAUAUGUACUGGUUUUAGAUGGGCUCACGGCCUAUCAGCUUGUUGGUGAGGUAACGGCUCACCAAGGCGACGACGGGUAGCCGGCCUGAGAGGGUGACCGGCCACACUGGGACUGAGACACGGCCCAGACUCCUACGGGAGGCAGCAGUGGGGAAUAUUGCACAAUGGGCGCAAGCCUGAUGCAGCGACGCCGCGUGAGGGAUGACGGCCUUCGGGUUGUAAACCUCUUUCAGCAGGGAAGAAGCGAAAGUGACGGUACCUGCAGAAGAAGCGCCGGCUAACUACGUGCCAGCAGCCGCGGUAAUACGUAGGGCGCGAGCGUUGUCCGGAAUUAUUGGGCGUAAAGAGCUUGUAGGCGGUUUGUCGCGUCUGCUGUGAAAGCCCGGGGCUUAACCCCGGGUUUGCAGUGGGUACGGGCUAACUAGAGUGCAGUAGGGGAGACUGGAAUUCCUGGUGUAGCGGUGAAAUGCGCAGAUAUCAGGAGGAACACCAAUGGCGAAGGCAGGUCUCUGGGCUGUAACUGACGCUGAGAAGCGAAAGCAUGGGGAGCAAACAGGAUUAGAUACCCUGGUAGUCCAUGCCGUAAACGUUGGGCACUAGGUGUGGGGGACAUUCCACGUUUUCCGCGCCGUAGCUAACGCAUUAAGUGCCCCGCCUGGGGAGUACGGCCGCAAGGCUAAAACUCAAAGAAAUUGACGGGGGCCCGCACAAGCGGCGGAGCAUGCGGAUUAAUUCGAUGCAACGCGAAGAACCUUACCAAGGCUUGACAUAUACUGGACCGCUCUA